Molecule: RNA transcript, 1491 nt
Organism: Mandrillus leucophaeus (drill)
Lineage: Eukaryota; Metazoa; Chordata; Mammalia; Primates; Cercopithecidae
Gene name: protein tyrosine phosphatase type IVA 1 pseudogene
Exons: 1
Source: RefSeq, a predicted model, not a curated record
UGCCCCUGCCGCCUCCUGCAACGCCGCCACCGCCACUCCGCCAUGACCACCGCUGCCUCCUGCCCUGCAGCCGCCACCACCGCCUGUGUUGACGCCGCCUCGGGACCGGUUGUAUGAUUAGGCCACAAUCUUCAAUGAGUAAACAUAUUGCUCAAUGCUGUGGUGUUCUUGGUCACACAUUUAUGGAGUUUCUGAAGGGCAGUGGAGAUUACUGCCAGGCACAGCACGACCUCUAUGCAGACAAGUGAACUGUAGAAACUGAUUAAUACUCCAUCAAGAAGCCCACAUAAGAGUGGUUAUCCUGGACAUAGAAGGGUUGAAUUGAAAUCCACAGAGCAUUUUACAAGAGUUCUGACCUGGAUGGGGUAAACCUCAGUGCACUUCUUUUCUGGUGGCCUCAGUAUUACUGGAUUAAAGAAUUGCUGCUGCUUGUUAGGAGGUUCAUUUCAUUUAUCAUUACUUACAACUUCAUACUCAAGCACUGAGAGUUUCAGUGGAGUAUGUUGAAGUAGACUUCAGUUUCUUUGCAUCAUUUCUGUAUUCCAAUUUUUAAAAAAUUAUUUCAUAACCCUAUUGAGUAUUUUUUAACUAAAUUAACAUGGCUGGAAUGAACCGCCCAGCUCCUGUGGAAGUCACAUACAAGAACAUAAGAUUUCUUAUUACACACAAUCCAACCAAUGUGACCUUAAACAAAUUUAUAGAGGAGCUUAAGAAGUAUGGCGUUACCACAAUAGUAAGAGUAUGUGAAGCAACUUAUGACAUCACUCUUGUGGAGAAAGAAGGUAUCCAUGUUCUUGAUUGACCUUUUGAUGAUGGUGCACCACCAUCCAACCAGAUUGUUGAUGACUGGUUAAGCCUUGUAAAAAUUAAGUUUCGUGAAGAACCUGGUUGUUGUAUUGCUGUUCACUGUGUGGCAGGCCUUGGGAGAGCUCCAGUACUUGUUGCCCUAGCAUUAAUUGAAGGUGGAAUGAAAUAUGAAGAUGCAGUACAAUUCAUAAGACAAAAGCAGCAUGGAGCUUUUAACAGCAAGCAACUUUUGUAUUUGGAGAAGUAUCGUCCUAAAAUGCGGCUGCGUUUCAAAGAUUCCAAUGGUCAUAGAAACAACUGUUGCAUUCAAUAAAAUUGGAGUACCUAGUGCUAUUGGAAGUGGAACUUGAGAUAGGGCCUAAUUUGUUAUACAUAUUAGCCAACAUGUUGGGUUAGUGCGUAAGUCUAAUGUAGCUUCCAUGGGAGUAUUGAAAGGCAGUUUUACCAGGGCCACAAGCUAGACAGAUUUGGCAACCUCUGUAUUUGGGUUACAGUCAACCUAUUUGGUUACUUGGCAAAAGAUUCUCACUGUCAGCAUAUAAAAUGUGCUUGUCAUUUGUAUCAAUUGACCUUUCCCAAAAUCAUGCAGUAUUGAGUUAUGACUUGUUUCUAUUCCCAUGCCAGAAUCUUAUCAAUACAUAAGAAAUUUAGGAAGACUAGGUGCCAAAAUACCUAGCAAAAUAC